ACGGCCAAAUAACGGCAAAACACCGGUUCCCGUACGAUCACUGAAGUUAAGCAACGUCAAGCCUGGCCAGUACGUAGAUGGAGGACCUCUUGGGAAUAUUAAGUACAGCA
Molecule: non-coding RNA, 110 nt
Organism: Acanthosepion pharaonis
Lineage: Eukaryota; Metazoa; Mollusca; Cephalopoda; Sepiida; Sepiidae
Source: the annotation of a GenBank genome assembly